This is a long non-coding RNA of Ctenopharyngodon idella (grass carp), 2373 nucleotides long. RefSeq lists it as uncharacterized. The transcript has 4 exons. The record is from RefSeq and is a predicted model, not a curated record. Lineage: Eukaryota; Metazoa; Chordata; Actinopteri; Cypriniformes; Xenocyprididae.
CUUUUGUGUUCAGCAGAAGAAAGAAAUUCAUACAGAUUUGGAACAACUUGAGGGUGAGUAAAUGAUGACAGAAUUUUCAUUUUUGGGUGAACUAUCCCUUUAAUAUAAGGACAGUUCACACAAAAAUAAAUGAAGUCAUCAUGUGCUCACCCUCAUGUCUUUCCAAACCUUUCUUUCUACAAUGGAUUAUGUAAAGAGAUGUCUAAGGUACCCUUUUCCAAGAAAGUGGAUGGUGGCCAUUGAGCUCCAAAAAGGACAAAAGAAGCACCAUAAAUAUUAUCAUAACAGUAGUCUAUAUGAAUUGUGUACUAUAUUCCAUGUGUUUUGAAGCCAUUUUGGGUGGUAAACAGUCUCAAAUACUAGUUUCAAAUAAAGAAGUGACUUAUAUGUCCAUUUGGUAGAAAACAAAUUACUUAAAAAACAAACAAAAAAAACAAACAAGUGGCCUUAUAUGGUACACGAGGCUUAAUUGGGUCACUUCCUCUGUAUCACAGGAUGUGUUAAUAACCACACAGUUUUUGUAUUAAUGAGGUUUUAAAACGGACACCUUGAGAUUUGUUAGACUCAGUGGUUUCAGCCAGGGGGUCAGGGCUCACUAGGAGCCGCAACAAAUUUCCAAGGGGGCCUGAAGAUGACUUAAAAUUAAAAUAGACAAAACAAGCAUUAAAAUAAGCUAAAAGAACUAAAAAUCUAGAUUAUUAACACCAUUACACUCCAAGCCUGAACCGCUGAUACAAAGCAGAAUGGUUCCAUGCUUUCAUGUUGUUUACACCAAAUUCAGACCCUACAAUCUGAAUGUCGCAGCAGAAAUUCAGACUCAUCGGACCAGGCAAUGUUUCUCCAGUCUUCUGUUGUCCAGUUUUGGUGAGCCCGUGUGAAUUGUAGCUUCAGUUUGCUGUUCUCAGCUGACAGGAGUGGCAUCGGUGUGUCUUCUGCUGCUGGAGCUCAUCUGCUUCAAGGUUCGAAGUGUUGUGUUCAGAGAUGCUCUUCUGCAUUGUUUAUUUGAGUUACUGUUGCCUUUCUAUCAGCUCGAACUGGUCAUUCUCCUCUGACCUCUGACAUCAACAAGACAUUUUCUCCCACAGAACUGCCGCUCACCGGAUAUUUUCUCUUUUUCAGACCAUUUUCUGUAAACCCUAGAGAUUUGUUGUGUGUGAAAACCACAGUAGAUCAGCAGUUUCUGAAAUACUCAGACCAGCCCGUCUGGCGCCAACAACCACGCCAUGUUUAAAGUCACUUAAAUCACCUUUCUUCCUCAUUCUGAUGCUCAGCUUGAUCUUCAGCAGAUCAUCUUGAUUGUCUUCAUUCCUAAAUGCAUUGAGUUGCUGUGUUGGCUGAUUAGAUAUUUGCAUUAAUGAGCAGUUGAAGAGCUCUAAAAUAAUUUAUUGGAUAGAAGUUGUGAGUGUGGGGGCCUUCAAAUAUUGUCGUGGACAAUAGGGGGGUCUUGAAGUAAAAAGGUUGAGACCCACUGUGUUAGACGAUUCUUAUAGUGCAAUGAUGACAAUUGCUUGAUGACUAUAAUGUGUUAAGAGCUCGCUCAAGUACUGGGGAGCUAAACCAUUUAGUGCUUUGGACCACCUAGCUGGUUUUAAAGUGUUGGCCACUUUUCUUGCUGCCCAACCAGCUGCAAAUCUGUGGUUUUUUAGUAGACAAAUUUAAUUGGUUGAAAGAGGGGUGUCAAGCAACAGUUCCUUGAUUUUGAUGUGGGCAACUGGCAACCAAUGCAGUGACAAAAUGAGGGUCCCUUUUUGAGAAGAUGUAUAAAAGGAAAAUGAAACAUUGUCUGUUCAUUCUUGUUCCGUCACAAGAUGCAUCUGCAAGUCUCCAUUGCUCUUUUUUUCAUUCUUCUCACUGGAGGUACAGUAAAAAAUUUAAUAGCAUAUUUAAUUUUGGGGUGUAAAUAGGGAUUCACUGAAUGUCUCUCUUUGUCUCCUUGUCAUUUAAGGAUUUUGUCUGGACUGCUAUCAUUGCCAGUAUCAAAAAGGAGUUUCUUGUAAAACAUUGAAGACAUGUAAUAAGUGCGCAAGUACAAAAACAGUAGAAUACUAUGGACAGUAUAGAAAGCUAACAAUGGAAAGGAUCGGGAACUCAACUCGCCUACAGCGCAACCAAGUUAUAUGUGACAGAGCUGGCACAAAGACGGAAACCUUUUCUAAAAGAUGUGUUAUGCCACGUGAAUGUACAAGCUGGUCUUUUAGCACAGGCUGCUGGAGAAAGGAAUAUUCUGUCCAAUGCUGUAACACCAACUCUUGCAAUAAUCGAGAUGCCCCAGAUUUGAUCUCUCAUAAGCCCAAUGGGAAGAGAUGUUUCACUUGUGAUCGGAAGGACUGCUCAAAAACAGUGAGUUGUUGGGGGAAUGAAGACUACUGCUUU